This 466-nucleotide ribosomal RNA is filed under the name uncultured bacterium. RNAcentral's name for it is "bacterial SSU rRNA". It matches the Rfam family "Bacterial small subunit ribosomal RNA", at positions 34 to 518 of the family's 1533-position model. The record is from RNAcentral.
CGCUGGCGGCGUGCCUAACACAUGCAAGUCGAGCGAGGAGAUCCUCGGGAUGAUCCUAGCGGCGGACGGGUGAGUAACACGUGGGCAACCUGCCUCAUAGAGAGGAAUAGCCUUCCGAAAGGGAGAUUAAUACCUCAUAACAUUGCAGUUUCGCAUGGAACAGCAAUUAAAGGAGCAAUCCGCUAUGAGAUGGGCCCGCGGCGCAUUAGCUAGUUGGUGAGGUAACGGCUCACCAAGGCGACGAUGCGUAGCCGACCUGAGAGGGUGAUCGGCCACAUUGGGACUGAGACACGGCCCAGACUCCUACGGGAGGCAGCAGUGGGGAAUAUUGCACAAUGGGGGAAACCCUGAUGCCAGCAACGCCGCGUGAGUGAUGACGGCCUUCGGGUUGUAAAGCUCUGUCUUCAGGGACGAUAAUGACGGUACCUGAGGAGGAAGCCACGGCUAACUACGUGCCAGCCGCCGC